UACGUAGGGGCCGAGCGUUGUCCGGAGUUACUGGGCGUAAAGCGCGCGCAGGCGGCCGCUUUGGCCCGCCGUGAAAGCCCCCGGCUCAACCGGGGAGGGUCGGCGGGGACGGGGCGGCUUGAGGACGGCAGGGGCUGGUGGAAUCCCCGGUGUAGUGGUGAAAUGCGUAGAGAUCGGGGGGAACACCCGUGGCGAAGGCGGCCAGCUGGGCCGAUCCUGACGCUGAGGCGCGAAGGCGUGGGGAGCGAACGGG
RNAcentral lists this ribosomal RNA (253 nucleotides) under uncultured Sphaerobacter sp. Its description in RNAcentral is "partial 16S ribosomal RNA". It matches the Rfam family "Bacterial small subunit ribosomal RNA", at positions 524 to 776 of the family's 1533-position model. Lineage: Bacteria; Pseudomonadati; Thermomicrobiota; Thermomicrobia; Sphaerobacterales; Sphaerobacteraceae. The record is from RNAcentral.